GAGAGUAAGUGCUCCCUACAUUGGAUCGAUACAGAGAAGAUUAGCAUGGCCCCUGCGAAAGGAUGACACCCAAAUCUGUGAAGCGCUCCACCUCUUU
RNAcentral lists this small nuclear RNA (97 nucleotides) under Carassius auratus (goldfish). The record is from RNAcentral. Lineage: Eukaryota; Metazoa; Chordata; Actinopteri; Cypriniformes; Cyprinidae.